AGAGUUUGUCCUGGCUCAGAUUGAACGCUGGCGGAAUGCUUUACACAUGCAAGUCGAACGGCAGCACGGACUUCGGUCUGGUGGCGAGUGGCGAACGGGUGAGUAAUAUAUCGGAACGUGCCCAGUCGUGGGGGAUAACGUAGUGAAAAUUACGCUAAUACCGCAUACGAUCUAAGGAUGAAAGCGGGGGAUCGCAAGACCUCGCGCGAUUGGAGCGGCCGAUAUCAGAUUAGGUAGUUGGUGAGGUAAAGGCUCACCAAGCCAACGAUCUGUAGCUGGUCUGAGAGGACGACCAGCCACACUGGAACUGAGACACGGUCCAGACUCCUACGGGAGGCAGCAGUGGGGAAUUUUGGACAAUGGACGCAAGUCUGAUCCAGCCAUUCCGCGUGCAGGACGAAGGCCUUCGGGUUGUAAACUGCUUUUGUACAGAACGAAAAGGUCUCUAUUAAUACUAGGGGCUCAUGACGGUACUGUAAGAAUAAGCACCGGCUAACUACGUGCCAGCAGCCGCGGUAAUACGUAGGGUGCAAGCGUUAAUCGGAAUUACUGGGCGUAAAGCGUGCGCAGGCGGUUAUAUAAGACAGAUGUGAAAUCCCCGGGCUCAACCUGGGAACUGCAUUUGUGACUGUAUAGCUGGAGUGCGGCAGAGGGGGAUGGAAUUCCGCGUGUAGCAGUGAAAUGCAUAGAUAUGCGGAGGAACACCGAUGGCGAAGGCAAUCCCCUGGGCCUGCACUGACGCUCAUGCACGAAGCGUGGGGAGCAAACAGGAUUAGAUACCCUGGUAGUCCACGCCCUAA
Molecule: ribosomal RNA, 800 nt
Filed under: uncultured bacterium
Lineage: Bacteria
Description: bacterial SSU rRNA
Rfam family: Bacterial small subunit ribosomal RNA
Source: RNAcentral